Molecule: ribosomal RNA, 287 nt
Filed under: uncultured bacterium
Lineage: Bacteria
Description: partial 16S ribosomal RNA
Rfam family: Bacterial small subunit ribosomal RNA
Source: RNAcentral
UACAGAGGGUGCAAGCGUUAAUCGGAAUUACUGGGCGUAAAGCGCGCGUAGGUGGUUUGUUAAGUUGAAAUGUGAAAUCCCCGGGCUCAACCUGGGAACUGCAUGCAAAACUGGCAAGCUAGAAGUAUGGUAGAGGGUGGUGGAAUUUCCUGUGUAGCGGUGAAAUGCGUAGAUAUAGGAAGGAACACCAGUGGCGAAGGCGACCACCUGGACUGAUACUGACACGAGGUGCGAAAGCCGUUGGGGGAGGCAACAGGAAUAGAUACCCUAGUAAGCUCCGUGACCCA